GAUCCUGGCUCAGGACGAACGCUGGCGGCGUGCUUAACACAUGCAAGUCGAACGAGAAUCUAAUGACGGAGUUUUCGGACAACUGAUUUAGAGGACAGUGGCGGACUGGUGAGUAACGCGUGAGGAACCUGCCUUUCAGAGGGGACGAACAGUUGGAAACGACUGCUAAUACCGCAUGAUGUGUAGCUGGGACGAUCCCGGACUACACCAAAGAUUUAUUCGCUGAAAGAAUGGCCUCGCG
This 241-nucleotide ribosomal RNA is filed under the name uncultured bacterium. RNAcentral's name for it is "partial 16S ribosomal RNA". It matches the Rfam family "Bacterial small subunit ribosomal RNA", at positions 15 to 235 of the family's 1533-position model. The record is from RNAcentral.